CCUACGGGAGGCAGCAGUGAGGAAUAUUGGUCAAUGGACGAGAGUCUGAACCAGCCAAGUAGCGUGAAGGAUGACUGCCCUACGGGUUGUAAACUUCUUUUAUAUGGGAAUAAAAUGUUCCACGUGUGGGAUUUUGUAUGUACCAUAUGAAUAAGGAUCGGCUAACUCCGUGCCAGCAGCCGCGGUAAUACGGAGGAUCCGAGCGUUAUCCGGAUUUAUUGGGUUUAAAGGGAGCGUAGGUGGGUUGUUAAGUCAGUUGUGAAAGUUUGCGGCUCAACCGUAAAAUUGCAGUUGAUACUGGCAGUCUUGAGUACAGUUGAGGUAGGCGGAAUUCGUGGUGUAGCGGUGAAAUGCUUAGAUAUCACGAAGAACUCCGAUUGCGAAGGCAGUUCACUAGACUGCAACUGACACUGAGGCUCGAAAGUGUGGGUAUCAAACAGGAUUAGAUACCCCUGUAGUC
Molecule: ribosomal RNA, 460 nt
Filed under: uncultured bacterium
Lineage: Bacteria
Description: partial 16S ribosomal RNA
Rfam family: Bacterial small subunit ribosomal RNA
Source: RNAcentral